CCCUUAGAUGUUCUGGGCUGCACGCGCGCUACACUGAUACUUUCAGCGAGUCCACCACCUUGCCUGAGAGGGUGGGGUAACCUCUGGAAAGUGUAUCGUGAUGGGGAUCGAUUAUUGUAAUUAUUAAUCUUCAACGAGGAAUUCCUAGUAAGCAUGUGUCAUCAGCCCGUGCUGAUUACGUCCCUGCCCUUUGUACACACCGCCCGUCGCUCCUACCGAUUGGGUGUGCUGGUGAAAUGUUCGGAUCGGCCGUUUGUCGCGGUUUCCGCGGCUCGUGGCUGAGAAGUUCAUUAAACCCUCCCACCUAGAGGAAGGAGAAGUCGUAACA
This 328-nucleotide ribosomal RNA is filed under the name uncultured eukaryote. RNAcentral describes it as "partial 18S ribosomal RNA". It matches the Rfam family "Eukaryotic small subunit ribosomal RNA", at positions 1470 to 1796 of the family's 1831-position model. The record is from RNAcentral.